Molecule: RNA transcript, 1292 nt
Organism: Oryzias latipes (Japanese medaka)
Lineage: Eukaryota; Metazoa; Chordata; Actinopteri; Beloniformes; Adrianichthyidae
Gene: aprt
Gene name: adenine phosphoribosyltransferase
Source: RefSeq, a predicted model, not a curated record
UUCCGCUACAGGGUUUUCCGGUUGCAUCAAAGGUCUCCUCUGCACGAACAUGGAGUCGAAGCUGCAGCUUUUACGAAAACACGUCCGGACCUUCCCGGACUUUCCGAAACCCGGGAUCCAGUUCAGAGACAUAUGUCCCAUCUUGAAGAGCCCCCCUGCUCUAACUGCUGCCAUUGACCUGUUUGAGGAACAGGUGAGGACCAUACACCCGCAGGUGGAUCUCAUUGUAGGUCUUGACGCUCGGGGGUUCCUGUUCGGGCCUUUGCUAGCCCAAAGGUUGGGCAUUGGUUUUGUUCCUGUCAGGAAAAGGGGGAAGCUCCCUGGAACCACCGUCACUGCAGCCUACGACCUUGAGUAUGGCAAGGCAGAGCUAGAGAUCCAAGAGGACGCUGUGUCACCGGCUCAGAAGAUUGUACUGAUUGAUGACCUUCUGGCUACAGGAGGAGAACAACCACAGAGACGGGAAACCAGCUUGCUGCUCUGGCACAUGAUCAGAUGAUCCACGAAGGAGGCGGCAAACUUGCAGCAGCUGAGAAACUUUGGAUGGAGAGGUUUCAGAGACAAAGCUGAAGCACAGCUUCUUCCACAGAUUGUCAUCAAUCAGCAUUUAAAAUCCAUCAAAGUCCUCAUCUUCUGGAUCUGAAACAGCUGGGCUACAUCUCUAUCAGACACGCCAGCUUCACUUCCGUCAUCGUCAGAGUCCGUCUCGUCGCUGUGCGGCUCCAAAGAACGGUGAAAGCAGACUCGUCAGCCCAAACUUAAGUCCUACAGUCCAAAAGUGUGGCGUAACUCGCCCAGCGCUGCCUCCAAGUAAAAGGAGUGGAGGAUGGACAGCUUUUCAUUGUCAUCUGCUGGAAGUUGCUGCGCUCGAGUCGAUCUUCCAACACAGUCAACCUCGCCUUGUUUCUCUGGAAACUCAGCUGCUGCUGCGUCUUCUUGUCUUGUCAGAGUUGUUUUUUCAGCGCCAUCAUUUGUGAACCAUGGAUUCAUUAUUUUAAAUUCUCUGGCAGCUGAAGAUAAAGUUAGAAAGAUCUUCACAGAUUCGGACUUCCUGCUUCACUAACUCUUCUGAUCAACGUUCAAAUGUGUCAGCAAGUAUCUCAAUCAUUUCGUCUUAACACAAAGUGAACCACAACUGCAUUUCUAAAGAUCGUUUUGUUGCCUUUUUUAAUCAGCAUGUUCGUCUUAAGCUGUGAAUGCAGACAUGCAGAGCCAGUUGCAGAGGGACCGUUAACAAAGUGCAACCUCUGUGAAACACCAUUCUGUAAAAAUCAAUAACUUCACAAAAAAAG